UAAUCUUUCUAAACAUCGUGCAUCCUUUC
This 29-nucleotide non-coding RNA is filed under the name Rattus norvegicus (Norway rat). Lineage: Eukaryota; Metazoa; Chordata; Mammalia; Rodentia; Muridae. The record is from RNAcentral.